Molecule: ribosomal RNA, 253 nt
Filed under: uncultured bacterium
Lineage: Bacteria
Description: partial 16S ribosomal RNA
Rfam family: Bacterial small subunit ribosomal RNA
Source: RNAcentral
UACAGAGGGUGCGAGCGUUAAUCGGAAUUACUGGGCGUAAAGCGUGCGUAGACGGUUAUUUAAGUCGGGUGUGAAAGCCCCGGGCUCAACCUGGGAAUUGCAUUCGAGACUGAAUAGCUAGGGUACGGUAGAGGGAAGUGGAAUUCCUGGUGUAGCGGUGAAAUGCGCAGAUAUCAGGAGGAACACCCGUGGCGAAAGCGGCUCUCUGGGACGGUACUGACGCUGAGACGCGAAAGCGUGGGGAGCAAACAGG